GAUGAACGCUGGCGGUGUGCCUAAUACAUGCAAGUCGAGCGAACGGACGAGAAGCUUGCUUCUCUGAUGUUAGCGGCGGACGGGUGAGUAACACGUGGAUAACCUACCUAUAAGACUGGGAUAACUUCGGGAAACCGGAGCUAAUACCGGAUAAUAUUUUGAACCGCAUGGUUCAAAAGUGAAAGACGGUCUUGCUGUCACUUAUAGAUGGAUCCGCGCUGCAUUAGCUAGUUGGUAAGGUAACGGCUUACCAAGGCAACGAUGCAUAGCCGACCUGAGAGGGUGAUCGGCCACACUGGAACUGAGACACGGUCCAGACUCCUACGGGAGGCAGCAGUAGGGAAUCUUCCGCAAUGGGCGAAAGCCUGACGGAGCAACGCCGCGUGAGUGAUGAAGGUCUUCGGAUCGUAAAACUCUGUUAUUAGGGAAGAACAUAUGUGUAAGUAACUGUGCACAUCUUGACGGUACCUAAUCAGAAAGCCACGGCUAACUACGUG
RNAcentral lists this ribosomal RNA (497 nucleotides) under uncultured bacterium. Its description in RNAcentral is "partial 16S ribosomal RNA". It matches the Rfam family "Bacterial small subunit ribosomal RNA", at positions 28 to 507 of the family's 1533-position model. The record is from RNAcentral.